This 468-nucleotide ribosomal RNA is filed under the name uncultured bacterium. RNAcentral describes it as "partial 16S ribosomal RNA". It matches the Rfam family "Bacterial small subunit ribosomal RNA", at positions 28 to 507 of the family's 1533-position model. The record is from RNAcentral.
GACGAACGCUGGCGGCGUGCUUAACACAUGCAAGUCGAACGGAAAGGCCCGGCGCUUGUGGGUUGCUCGAGUGGCGAACGGGUGAGUAAAACGCGAGUAACCUGCCCUUGACUUUGGGAUAACUUCAGGAAACUGGGGCUAAUAUCGGAUAGGAGCUCCUGCUGCACGGGGGUGGAUGGAAAGUUUCGGCGGUGGGGGAUGGACUCGAGGCUUAUCAGCUUGUUGGGGGGGUAGGGGCUUACCAAGGCUUCGACGGAUAGCCGGCCUGGGAGGGUGACCAGCCACCAUGGGCCUGAGAUACGGCCCAGUCUGCUACGGGCGGCAGCAGUGGGGAGCAUUGCGGAGUGAGCGGACGCCUGAUGUAGAGGCGCCCCGUGCGGAAUGACGGGCUUCGAGUUGAAAACAGAUUUGGACUGUAACAAACCCUUAGUGACGGUAAUGGGUAAGGAAGCAACGGCUAACUACGUG